AUUUAACUGAAGAUUGCUAAACAGGACGAAACGCACGUCCUAGAU
Non-coding RNA from Schistosoma mansoni, 45 nucleotides. NCBI's taxonomy places the organism in Eukaryota, Metazoa, Platyhelminthes, Trematoda, Strigeidida, Schistosomatidae. The record is from Rfam.